Long non-coding RNA from Acanthaster planci (crown-of-thorns starfish), 307 nucleotides. Lineage: Eukaryota; Metazoa; Echinodermata; Asteroidea; Valvatida; Acanthasteridae. The record is from RefSeq and is a predicted model, not a curated record.
CGGGACCAGACAAUGGCACAACAAAGAAGACACGGAAUCAGAUAGAUUGGCUUCAAAAUGGGAAAGAAGAAAAACACAUAAUUAUCAGGCAGAUUCUGACAAAGACACAAUGCUGCACGUAACAUAACAGCCAGGUCAAAUGUUACUUCCAGCUACAACUUGCCUCAUUUUCUCAGCCCAAUCAUGAGAAAUGAUAUGUGGAUUUUUCUCAUUUCUUGGGGCAUACCUCAAAAUGAUGAGAAUCCUUCUUCCUGCAAAGCUCACCUGUACAAAUGCAGCCAGUGCAAAGAAGAUCGCCAUGACAACA